AUUGAACGCUGGCGGCAGGCUUAACACAUGCAAGUCGAGCGAGCGGCGGACGGGUGAGUAAUGUCUGGGAAACUGCCUGAUGGAGGGGGAUAACUACUGGAAACGGUAGCUAAUACCGCAUACCAUCAGAUGUGCCCAGAUGGGAUUAGCUAGUAGGUGGGGUAAUGGCUCACCUAGGCGACGAUCCCUAGCUGGUCUGAGAGGAUGACAACGCACCCGUGACCGGAGACACGGCCCAGGCUCCUACGAGAGGAAGCAGUGGGUAAUAUUGCACAAUGGGCGCAAGUCUGAGACAGCCAUGCCGCGUGUGUGAAGAAGGCGUUCGGGUUGUAAAGCACUUUCAGCGAGGAGGCGUUACUCGCAGAAGAAGCACCGGCUAACUCCGUGCCAGCCGCCGCGGUAAUAC
Molecule: ribosomal RNA, 406 nt
Filed under: uncultured bacterium
Lineage: Bacteria
Description: partial 16S ribosomal RNA
Rfam family: Bacterial small subunit ribosomal RNA
Source: RNAcentral